UGGGGCCGCGGUUGUGGCGGAGUGUGCGGGUGAGGCGGCGUGUGGUGUUGGGGGCACGGUUGUGGCGGAGUAUGCGGGUGGGGCCACGGUUGUGGUGGAGUGUGUGGGUGGGGCCACGGGUGUGGCGGUAUGUGCGGUUGGGGACACGGGUGUGGCGGCGUGUGCGGUUGAGGCGGGAGGGGUCAGGGAGGAUGCGGUUGGGGUCAUUGGGGCGGUAGUGGAUAACAAGGUAGGGGCUGUGGCAGUGGCGGUAGUCCGUUCACGGGUCACCUGUGCGACUUCGACGACCCCACACACCUACGCGAGUUGCCCAACCACGUACGGCACUAGCCAUCGUCACGUUCACUGUGAACAACGGGAGAUGACCGGCCGCACCGGCCACAACUGCGGCGUGAGACGGAGACAUGGUGGUAGCUCGAGUUCCGUGAGUUGUAGUUGGAGCACGACGGUUAGCGGUAGGUCCACGAACAAUUGGUCACGCCGUUCUGUCACGGAUCGCUAAAGGUUACGGGACACUGCGGUGGGAGCGGCUGUGGCGGCGGUAGGGGAUAGUGGGGUGGUGGAUGGGGACAGUGAGGAAGCGGAUGUGGCGGUAGGGGACACCAGGGCUGGGGUUACGGUCAAUGUGGCGGCGGUAGCGGCGGCUGAGGACAGUUAGGAAGCGGAUGUGGCGGUAGGGGACACCAGGGUUGGGGUCACGGUCAAUGUGGUAGCGGUAGCGGUGGCUGAGGACAGUUAGGAAGCGGAUGUGGCGGUAGGGGACACCAGGGCUGGGGUCACGGUCAAUGUGGGGGCAGUAGCGGCGGUUACCCGUUUACGGGUCAACUGUGUGACUUCAACGAUCCCACGCACCUGCGGGAGUUACCCGACCACGUGUGCCACUAGCCAUCGUCACGGUCGCUGUGGACAACGGGCGAGAACAGACCACACCGGCCGGAGCUGCGGCGCGAGACGGAGACGUGGUGGUAGCUCGAGUUCCGCGAGUUGUAGUUGGAGCACAACGGUUAGCGGUAGGUUCACGAGCAAUUGGUCACGCCGUUCUGUCACGGGUUGCUGAAGGUCACGGGACGCUGCGGCGGUAGCGGCUGUGGCCAAUGCGGCGGUUGGGGUGGACGUUUCGGAGGGUGGGGACAAUGUGGUCAUUGAGGCGGUAGCGGUUGUGGUUGUGGCCAAUGCGGAGGCAGGGGACACCAGGGCCGGGGUCAGGGUCGCUGCGGCGGCGGUAGCAGCAGUUGUCCGUUCACGGGGUAGCUGUGCGACUUUAACAACCCGACGCACCUGCGCGAGCUGCCCGACCACGUGCGCGAUUAGCCAUCGUCACGGUCGCUGUUUACGACGGGUGACAAUAGGCCACACCGACUGGAGCUGCGUCGCGAGACGGAGACGUGCUGUUAGUUCGAGUUCCGCGAGUUGUAGUUGGAGCACGACGGGUAUCGGUAACUCCACGAGCAGUUGGUUACGCCGUUCUGUCACGGACUGCUGAAGGUUACGGGAUCAAUUCGAGGUAGUUCAUUAUAUCACGAUACUCAUAGUGGACGUAGACUUACGCUAUGUAGGUAAUUUAGAGAACACUCCAGUGAAUACGUUAUUCAUUAUAGAUGUACACGUCGAGAUUGAUGAUCACUACACCUCGACACCUUGUACGUACGUAAAACAAUCACAUUAACAGAUAGUUUAUCAUUGGCACAUUGCAAAAUAGUUGACACCAGAAGGUAACCAAACAUCACACAAGAAAGGAGAUUUAUUUUACGGAACGCGACACAUCUUACUUGAAAAAGUG
This 1780-nucleotide ribosomal RNA is filed under the name Triticum aestivum (bread wheat). RNAcentral's name for it is "partial small subunit ribosomal RNA". Lineage: Eukaryota; Viridiplantae; Streptophyta; Magnoliopsida; Poales; Poaceae. The record is from RNAcentral.